UGAAGGUCCUCUCUCUCGUUCUCGGC
RNAcentral lists this non-coding RNA (26 nucleotides) under Mus musculus (house mouse). The record is from RNAcentral. Lineage: Eukaryota; Metazoa; Chordata; Mammalia; Rodentia; Muridae.